This 253-nucleotide ribosomal RNA is filed under the name uncultured prokaryote. Its description in RNAcentral is "partial 16S ribosomal RNA". It matches the Rfam family "Bacterial small subunit ribosomal RNA", at positions 524 to 776 of the family's 1533-position model. The record is from RNAcentral.
UACAGAGGGUGCGAGCGUUAAUCGGAAUUACUGGGCGUAAAGCGCGCGUAGGCGGCUUGUUGAGUCGGAUGUGAAAGCCCCGGGCUCAACCUGGGAAUUGCAUUCGAGACUGCAUAGCUAGGGUGCGGAAGAGGGAAGCGGAAUUUCCGGUGUAGCGGUGAAAUGCGUAGAUAUCGGAAGGAACACCAGUGGCGAAAGCGGCUUCCUGGUCCAGCACCGACGUUCAGGCACGAAAGCGUGGGGAGCAAACAGG